This 397-nucleotide ribosomal RNA is filed under the name uncultured Pseudomonas sp. Its description in RNAcentral is "bacterial SSU rRNA". It matches the Rfam family "Bacterial small subunit ribosomal RNA", at positions 985 to 1382 of the family's 1533-position model. The record is from RNAcentral. Lineage: Bacteria; Pseudomonadati; Pseudomonadota; Gammaproteobacteria; Pseudomonadales; Pseudomonadaceae.
UAGUAUGUUGACGUAUUCUGAAAGGGAUACUUCUUCGGACAAUAUACAAGGUGCUGCAUGGUUGUUCGUCAGCUCGUGCCGUGAGGUGUCGGGUUAAGGUCCCAUAACGAGCGCAACCCCUAUCAUUAGUUGCCAUCAGGUCAAGCUGGGGACUCUAAUGAAACUGCCUACGCAAGUAGUGAGGAAGGUGGGGAUGACGUCAAAUCAGCACGGCCCUUACGUCCAGGGCUACGCACGUGCUACAAUGGUCGGUACAAAGGGUUGCCAAGCCGCGAGGUGGAGCUAAUCCCAUAAAACCGAUCGUAGUCCGGAUCGCAGUCUGCAACUCGACUGCGUGAAGUCGGAAUCGCUAGUAAUCGUGAAUCAGAAUGUCACGGUGAAUACGUUCCCGGGCCUU